GUGCCAGCCGCCGCGGUAAUACGUAGGGAGCAAGCGUUGUCCGGAAUUACUGGGCGUAAAGGGCGCGUAGGCGGAAUUUUAAGUCAGGUGUGAAAACGUAGGGCUCAACCUUACGAUGGCACUUGAAACUGGAAUUCUUGAGGUCAGGAGAGGAAAGUGGAAUUCCUAGUGUAGCGGUGAAAUGCGUAGAUAUUAGGAGGAACACCAGUGGCGAAGGCGACUUUCUGGACUGCACCUGACGCUGAGGCGCGAAAGCGUGGGUAGCGAACGGGAUUAGAUACCCCGGUAGUCCACGCCGUAAACGAUGGGUACUAGGUGUAGGAGGUAUCGACCCCUUCUGUGCCGCAGUUAACGCAAUAAGUACCCCGCCUGGGGAGUACGGCCGCAAGGUUGAAACUCAAAGAAAUUGACGG
Molecule: ribosomal RNA, 413 nt
Filed under: uncultured bacterium
Lineage: Bacteria
Description: bacterial SSU rRNA
Rfam family: Bacterial small subunit ribosomal RNA
Source: RNAcentral